This 440-nucleotide long non-coding RNA is filed under the name Homo sapiens (human). Its description in RNAcentral is "HSALNT0251229". The record is from RNAcentral. Lineage: Eukaryota; Metazoa; Chordata; Mammalia; Primates; Hominidae.
AGAAGAGACAUAAAGGGCUUGGACAGACUCCCUGGCUGUAGCAAGCAGCAGCUAAGACAUGCUGUAAAGUAGCAAACGGUAUUUAGAUGCUUAAGGACGAUAAACACAUUGGUUUUUAUCCAGAAAUCUCUCCCAGUUGAACUCCCAGCAAGCAUCAGUCCUCAAGGAGCAAGAAGACUUCAGGCACUCUUCAGUGAAAGCAUAGCAAUUAUGAUGAACAGGAUCUUACUCAAUCCUCAAUAUGCCCUGAAGCAUUUGUGCCUAAAGACAGACAUUUAUGCCCCCAAUUCACUGCUGUGAAGAGGAAAGCUUAGGGUCAGAGGGACUUUGAGAAGUCCUCUAGCAGGUGCAUGGAGUUCCCCAGAGCAGCUCCCAAGCCACCCACAUGGGAAAAUAAGUUACUGGCAAAGGAUGAACUCAACUCUUCUGCUCACCUGCUU